AGAGUUUGAUUCUGGCUCAGGAUUAACGCUGGCGGCGUGCCUAACACAUGCAAGUCGAACGAAAUAUCUUCGGAUAUUUAGUGGCGAACGGGUGAGUAAUGUACAGGUAAUGUACCUUCGUACUGCGAAUAACAAGCUGAAAAGUUUGCUAAUACGGAAUAGUUUCCUUCGAGGGCAUCCUUAAAGGAAUAAAGAUUUAUCGUGCGGAGAUCAGCCUGUAUCCUAUUAGUUAGUUGGUGGGGUAAUGGCCUACCAAGACGACGAUGGGUAACUGGUCUGAGAGGAUGAGCAGUCACAUUGGAACUGAGAAACGGUCCAAACUCCUACGGGAGGCAGCAGUGAGGAAUUUUGCGCAAUGGGGGAAACCCUGACGCAAGCAACGCCGCGUGAGUGAUGACGGCCUUCGGGUUGUAAAGCUCUGUCGUGUGUGACGAGUAGGGACGGUAACACACAAGGAAGCCUCGGCUAACUACGUGCCAGCCGCCGC
Molecule: ribosomal RNA, 487 nt
Filed under: uncultured bacterium
Lineage: Bacteria
Description: bacterial SSU rRNA
Rfam family: Bacterial small subunit ribosomal RNA
Source: RNAcentral